CCUACGGGGGGCUGCAGUGGGGAAUAUUGCACAAUGGGGGGAACCCUGAUGCAGCAACGCCGCGUGAGUGAAGAAGCUCUUCGGAGCGUAAAACUCUGUCCUAAGGGAAGAAGAAUGACGGUACCUUAGGAGGAAGCCCCGGCUAACUACGUGCCAGCAGCCGCGGUAACACGUAGGGGGCGAGCGUUAUCCGGAAUUACUGGGCGUAAAGCGUGCGUAGGCGGCCAUGCAAGCUUGGGGUUUAAAGCUGCGGCUUAACCGCAGUACGCCUUUAGAACUGUAUGGCUUGAGUGCAGGAGAGGAGAGUGGAAUUCCUAGUGUAGCGGUGAAAUGCGUAGAGAUUAGGAGGAACACCAGUGGCGAAGGCGACUCUCUGGACUGUAACUGACGCUCAGGCACGAAAGCGUGGGUAGCGAACAGGAUUAGAUACCCCUGUAGUC
Molecule: ribosomal RNA, 440 nt
Filed under: uncultured Eubacteriales bacterium
Lineage: Bacteria; Bacillati; Bacillota; Clostridia; Eubacteriales
Description: bacterial SSU rRNA
Rfam family: Bacterial small subunit ribosomal RNA
Source: RNAcentral